RNAcentral lists this ribosomal RNA (460 nucleotides) under uncultured bacterium. Its description in RNAcentral is "partial 16S ribosomal RNA". It matches the Rfam family "Bacterial small subunit ribosomal RNA", at positions 338 to 795 of the family's 1533-position model. The record is from RNAcentral.
CCUACGGGUGGCAGCAGUGAGGAAUAUUGGUCAAUGGACGAAAGUCUGAACCAGCCAAGUAGCGUGCAGGAUGACUGCCCUAUGAGUUGUAAACUUCUUUUAUAAGAGAAUAAACCGAGAUACGUGUACCUGUUUGCAAGUACCUUAUGAAUAAGGAUCGGCUAACUCCGUGCCAGCAGCCGCGGUAAUACGGAGGAUCCGAGCGUUAUCCGGAUUUAUUGGGUUUAAAGGGUGCGUAGGCGGGUGGAUAAGUCAGUUGUGAAAGCCUGAGGCUCAACCGUGGAAUUGCAUCUGAUACUGGCCGGCUAGAGAGCAGUUGCGGUAGGCGGAAUGCGUGGUGUAGCGGUGAAAUGCUUAGAGAUCACAAAGAACCCCGAUUGCGAAGGCAGCUUACUAAGCUGUUACUGACGUUGAGGCACGAAAGUGUGGGGAGCAAACAGGAUUAGAUACCCUUGUAGUC